AAGUCGUAACAAGGUAACCGUAGGUGAACCUGCGGUUGGAUCAUUAGAAAUUCUGUAGUUGCUGGUUAGCGGGGCUUAGGCCAUUUGAAUGAGGGUGUAUAAGAGUACAGUUUGCAAUGCAAUUUUGAUGUGACAAGUUCUAAUGACUAUGGUCUGCAAAUUUGUGUUGUCCGGUACUGAUGUGACAGACCUUUUGGUCAUUGUCUGUAGUACUUCAAGCCAGUUCUUUAUACCAUUGUUCAAACACUUGGCCACCUUACCAGUAGCUACUUUUUUAGACCAUUGUGCACCAUAAUUGUAUUUGGGUUGGUCUUUAGUACCAGCCCGCCUAUUAACUUCUAUAAUUUUGACUGACUUUGUUUCUAUGAAUCAAAACAA
Molecule: unclassified non-coding RNA, 378 nt
Filed under: plant metagenome
Description: partial contains small subunit ribosomal RNA and internal transcribed spacer 1
Rfam family: Eukaryotic small subunit ribosomal RNA (bases 1-46)
Source: RNAcentral